AUGCUUGUCCACGGUGACCAAAGUGGCUUCAUUACUGGUCGAUGUAUCGCCGAAAACUUCAUCUACGCAACUGACUCAUUGAAUUGCUGCCACAAACGCAAAGCUGCCACCAUGGUCCUUAAACUUGACUUCAUAAAGGCUUUUGACUCCAUCUCUUGGACCUCCUUAAUUAAAAUUCUUCGACACCGUGGCUUCCCCACCCGCUACUGCAAUUGGGUUGAUGACCUACUCACCUCCGGAAAAACUGCUAUCUCACUCAACGGUAUACCUGGUAGCUGGAUACAAUGCAGAAAUGGCCUGCGGUAAGGUGACCCCAUCUCACCCUACCUUUUCAUCAUAGUAGCCGACGUCCUCUAGCAGAUGAUCCUGAAACCAGCCGCUACUGAUGAAAGUGUCCUUCACCAUCCUGUCUACCCAGACCUUCCUCCGACCGUGCUUCAAUACGCCGACGACACGCUAAUCAUCGCCCAUGCCUCAACUAUGGCCGCACAAGUUCUUAAGAAAGUCCUCGAUGACUUCGCCUCGGCUACGGGCCUCUGCAUCAAUUUUUCCAAGACAACGCUUGUACCUAUGAAUGUCGACCCCGCCGUCUCUGAUCUGAUCGUCCAAUCCCUGGGAUGUGUGACCGCCAGCUUUCCGCAAACCUACCUAGGUCUUCCUCUCUCACUGCACAAACUACCACCCUCGGCCUUUCAGCUAAUCAUCUCCUCCUGCCAAAGUCUUCUACCUGGCUGGUGUGUAAAGCCGCUCAACCGUGCAGGUCGCCUCGUCCUCAUUUCCUCGGUCCAUGACUCCCUGUCUAUGUACUUUAUGUCUGUCUUCAAGCUGCCAAAAAAGGUUAUUAAAUUGUUAGACUCCAUUCAUAGAGCCUUCUUCUAG
Molecule: ribosomal RNA, 879 nt
Filed under: Triticum aestivum (bread wheat)
Lineage: Eukaryota; Viridiplantae; Streptophyta; Magnoliopsida; Poales; Poaceae
Description: partial small subunit ribosomal RNA
Source: RNAcentral